GUCACACUAUGGGAGCUGGCCAUGCCCGAAGUCGUUACCUUAACCGCAAGGAGGGGGACGCCGAAGGCAGGGCUAGUGACUGGAGUGAAGUCGUAACAAGGUAGCCGUACUGGAAGGUGCGGCUGGAUCACCUCCUUU
RNAcentral lists this non-coding RNA (138 nucleotides) under Gossypium arboreum. RNAcentral's name for it is "Bacterial small subunit ribosomal RNA". It matches the Rfam family "Bacterial small subunit ribosomal RNA", at positions 1396 to 1533 of the family's 1533-position model. The record is from Rfam by way of RNAcentral. Lineage: Eukaryota; Viridiplantae; Streptophyta; Magnoliopsida; Malvales; Malvaceae.